UUUUUCUACAAUAGAUUGUGAGACAAUAGAAACUAAAAUUAUUUUAAGAUCUAAGAGGAAUGUAUGUCUUUCAUCCCCAUCUAUAUUGGGCGUAAAAAUUCCUACAGCUUGCGAUCUUCACUGCAAAUCUUUCUAUGGGCCAAAGAAAGUUGGAUACUGCAAAAACUCUGUUUGUCGAUGUAAAUAAAUUACAUAAUGAUUUU
Molecule: long non-coding RNA, 203 nt
Organism: Aethina tumida (small hive beetle)
Lineage: Eukaryota; Metazoa; Arthropoda; Insecta; Coleoptera; Nitidulidae
Exons: 2
Source: RefSeq, a predicted model, not a curated record